CCUAUGGGUGGCAGCAGUGGGGAAUAUUGGACAAUGGGGGCAACCCUGAUCCAGCCAUGCCGCGUGUGUGAAGAAGGCCCUCGGGUUGUAAAGCACUUUCAGUGAGGAAGAACGCCUGGUGGUUAAUACCCAUCAGGAAAGACAUCACUCACAGAAGAAGCACCGGCUAACUCCGUGCCAGCAGCCGCGGUAAUACGGAGGGUGCGAGCGUUAAUCGGAAUUACUGGGCGUAAAGCGCGCGUAGGUGGCUUGAUAAGCCGGUUGUGAAAGCCCCGGGCUCAACCUGGGAACGGCAUCCGGAACUGUCAAGCUAGAGUGCAGGAGAGGAAGGUAGAAUUCCCGGUGUAGCGGUGAAAUGCGUAGAGAUCGGGAGGAAUACCAGUGGCGAAGGCGGCCUUCUGGACUGACACUGACACUGAGGUGCGAAAGCGUGGGUAGCAAACAGGAUUAGAUACCCGAGUAGUC
Molecule: ribosomal RNA, 465 nt
Filed under: Vreelandella stevensii
Lineage: Bacteria; Pseudomonadati; Pseudomonadota; Gammaproteobacteria; Oceanospirillales; Halomonadaceae
Description: partial 16S ribosomal RNA
Rfam family: Bacterial small subunit ribosomal RNA
Source: RNAcentral